AUGAUUUUAAUGGAAGGUCAGAUGUGGACAGAAGAGUUUCAUCUCAACUCGCCUCACCACUACAGAUCCAAGCCUAACACAGAGCCUAACAGAAUGUUUUUAUUUUUUUUACUUCUAUUUAAGAGAGCAAGGCUGGUCCAAGCAUGUUAUGACUGAGGUAAUUGCUUCUCCCUAUUUUUUACUAAGAUAUUUGUUCAUAGUUCACAAUUUGGCCAUUGACAACAAAAACUAACAAAUAUCAGGAAGUCUAUGACCUCUACAUCAUGGCAUUUACUGAUUAAGGUAGAAUAAUAGUUAAUAAGUACUUCAUAGCAAAAAUAAAUAAUUGGAAUGCAUAAAAGAUCAUGGAGGCUAAUGGAGUGUUAUAAACAUAUCCACAAAAGAUCUUUAGACACAUGAUGAUACAAUAUCCUCUGCUUCAACUAUGAAACAAAGUUGGUUGCAAGACAUGUCAUACAUUAAAGGGAAACGUUUUGUAUAAAAUAUAAUCUGCCAUUUUUUAACACUGAUGAGAAGCACCUGAUUUCAGAAUUUAAAAACUAAGUGUAUCUUAUCUAUUUUUUAAUCCUGUGCAUCACAACUAAUAACUGAACAGAAUUCAUUUGUAU
Molecule: long non-coding RNA, 608 nt
Filed under: Callithrix jacchus (white-tufted-ear marmoset)
Lineage: Eukaryota; Metazoa; Chordata; Mammalia; Primates; Cebidae
Description: lncRNA (ENSCJAG00000086171.1)
Source: RNAcentral